GUUUUCGGGUAAUUACGGUUAGCUUGACUAGCUGAGGAAAGUCCAUGCUCUCACAAGCUGAGAGUGCUUGUAGUGUUCGUGCUUAGCGAAAAAAUAAGCUAAGGCAGAUGUGUUUCACAUUUGACGGCAGUUAAAACAGCUAAGGCUUUAGGGCUAUGCUGGAGUAGACUUGAAAGUGCCACAGAGACGAAGCAAUAUUAGAAAUAAUAUUGGUGGAACGGGUAAACCCCACGAGAGAGCAACCCAAACAUAAGGUAGGGGCACUUUUUUCUAGGAAAUGAACGAAGAAAAAAGGCAGUCGUAAGAUUGCAGACAGAUUAUUACCGUUACUUUUUGAUCCUGAGAGAAAGUAAUACAGAACAUGGCUUAUAGAA
Molecule: RNase P RNA, 374 nt
Filed under: Vagococcus lutrae
Lineage: Bacteria; Bacillati; Bacillota; Bacilli; Lactobacillales; Enterococcaceae
Description: RNase P RNA component class B
Rfam family: Bacterial RNase P class B
About the family: Ribonuclease P (RNase P) is a ubiquitous endoribonuclease, found in archaea, bacteria and eukarya as well as chloroplasts and mitochondria.
Source: RNAcentral